UGGAAGUAAAAAGUCGUAACAAGGUCUCCGUUGGUGAACCAGCGGAGGGAUCAUUACUGAGUUACCGCUCUAUAACCCUUUGUGAACAUACCUAUACGUUGCUUCGGCGGCCGUCCCCCGGGGCGUCCGCCGGAGGAUAACCAAACUCUGAUUUAACGACGUUUCUUCUGAGUGGCACAAGCAAAUAAUCAAAACUUUUAACAACGGAUCUCUUGGUUCUGGCAUCGAUGAAGAACGCAGCGAAAUGCGAUAAGUAAUGUGAAUUGCAGAAUUCAGUGAAUCAUCGAAUCUUUGAACGCACAUUGCGCCCGCCAGCAUUCUGGCGGGCAUGCCUGUUCGAGCGUCAUUUCAACCCUCAAGCACUGCUUGGUGUUGGGGCUCUACGGUUGACGUAGGCCCCCAAAACUAGUGGCGGACCCUCUCGGAGCCUCCUUUGCGUAGUAACUUUUGUCUCGCACUGGGAUUCGGAGGGACUCUAGCCGUUAAACCCCCCAAUUUUUUAAAGGU
This 507-nucleotide ribosomal RNA is filed under the name fungal sp. GZ-2010a. Its description in RNAcentral is "eukaryotic LSU rRNA". The stretch from base 193 to 346 matches the Rfam family "5.8S ribosomal RNA". The record is from RNAcentral. Lineage: Eukaryota; Fungi.